This 440-nucleotide ribosomal RNA is filed under the name uncultured bacterium. RNAcentral's name for it is "partial 16S ribosomal RNA". It matches the Rfam family "Bacterial small subunit ribosomal RNA", at positions 338 to 795 of the family's 1533-position model. The record is from RNAcentral.
CCUACGGGUGGCAGCAGUGGGGGAUAUUGCACAAUGGGGGGAACCCUGAUGCAGCGACGCCGCGUGGGUGAAGAAGCGCCUCGGCGCGUAAAGUCCUGUCAGCAGGGAAGAAAAUGACGGUACCUGAAGAAGAAGCCCCGGCUAACUACGUGCCAGCAGCCGCGGUAAUACGUAGGGAGCAAGCGUUCGCCGGAUUUACUGGGAUUAAAGGGGGCGGAGGCGGCGGUGCAAGCCAGGAGUGAAAGCCCAGGGCCGAACCCCGGGACUGCUCUUGGAACUGCGUGGCUGGAGUGCAGGAGGGGCAGGCGGAAUUCCUGGUGUAGCGGUGGAAUGCGUAGAUAGCAGGAGGAACACCGGUGGCGAAGGCGGCCUGCUGGACUGCAACUGACGUUGAGGCCCGAAAGCGUGGGGAGCAAACAGGAUUAGAUACCCUGGUAGUC